AUGAGGGGUGCUUGGACUUUUGUUCAGGCUGAGAUUAUACCCAUGGAACCUGAAACGGGUAAUGCCGACGAAGGGAUAUGUCU
Molecule: non-coding RNA, 83 nt
Filed under: uncultured Prevotella sp.
Lineage: Bacteria; Pseudomonadati; Bacteroidota; Bacteroidia; Bacteroidales; Prevotellaceae
Source: RNAcentral